AACCCACUGAGCAAACACUGAAAAUAAAACCCGUACAUAAUUGAGUCAUUCAGUACGGGGGGGGGGGAUGCUCCACGGUAGGCUACUGCAAAUGUGAUCCCAGAGCGUGGAACAAGUUGUGUAGCACUCGCUGCUGCUAAAAGCCCGCAUAUAGAAAACCAUGCUAUGAACCAGAUCCCUCCUGUAUCAGCCCAUCCAUCUGCUGCAAGUCCUUCUCCCCAGAGCCCAGUGGGAGGUAACGCCGCGCUGUUCCUAGGCUGUGACGGGUGGAGACCGACUGUAACGUCACCAAUCACCAACUGACUCUUUGUGCCUACCCACGUCUCCCUCAGAGAAAAGGCCUCAACCCUGCAAACUUGUUUGCUGGUGGUUUUAUGCCACAGAGCCCACAGAAUCCUACAGUGUCACUUUAACCCAAGUGUUUUUGUUCUGCUGAACCCUGAACUUAUUUCCUCUGCAUCAACCCAAGGGCCUCCGCCCAGCACUGAAGCAAAUAGAAAGUCUCAAACUAGAUGUGACUGAGAUGUCGUAGCCUUGCGGACAUGGAAGAUGAAUUUACACACAGGAGUCUUUUUUUUUACUUUGAGAGCAUUGGGGAAUAAAUUAAGGCCUCUAAUCCUUUAUCCUUGUAUACUUACCGCUAAAACAAGGAAUGCUGUCAUGUAUGUUUGCAUAAAGACUGGAAACAUUGUAAAUGUAAAAACCGCUACACUAUGCCCUCGAUACAAUACACCCUUCUUCGAAAACUGCCUUGUCAAAAUCACUUUUGGGGUUUUUGGAGCUCAUUGCGGUGCAAAUGGUAGAUGUUUUAAUACAUACUUUCAGUAAGAAUAAAUCAAUUCUGUACCUUUUUUUUUUUAAUCUACAAACAGGCGGGGAGAAUUACUACAUACUUCAUGUCCGGGUUCCUUUCAGCUGUCUCCAAGAUCUUCAACCUAAACAUGCUUAUUGCCGCCAACAGACAGAAAGGACUGUGACACAUGCUUUUGUCUCAACCCACGUCCACCACUCCUACCAGCUUCCCCCUCUGCCUCCCUUGCAUUCACAUCUACUAUCAUGAAUGCUUGCAGAACAAACACUCCACCAAUUAGCGCUAUCAGCCUGCGGCGCCUUCGGUGAACCUCUUUGUUUGCAAAGAAAAAAAAGAAUAUUGGCUUCAACGACGUGACAAGAAAAGGGCCUGUCGUAAUGGAGCCGCUGCUUGCUGCAAAACACCCCAGACCAGAACAUGGGUGGGAUGGCCGAUAGUCCGGGAGAGAUUCCAGUGAUGAGGCCCACAUCGUUCCCAGAGCUACGACGGGAGCAUUUUAGGCCGUGAGAGCUACGCGCUCCGGCUGGUGCGUUUCGUUUGUUAGAUCGCCCGCUACGGUUUGGUCCAGCUACGUCGCUGCGGAGUGUUUGCUCCGACGGCAACUUAAUGCAGCUUCAUGAAGUAGAUCUUCUCAAACGUUAUCCUUUCGUCCUGCAUGCCUCUCUCAGUCCACCACACACACACACACACACACACACACACACCUUUCAGACGAAUAAAGAUUUAAUGCAAGUUAUCCACAAACUGAGUUGUGUAAAUCAAGAAGCUGGGGUUACGUAAGAAAGGGGUUUAGCCAACUACAAACAGCAAUGCGGAGGCCUGUAUGCUUCUCAGCUAAUGUAAUUAAUUGGAUUGUGCUGAUUAACAUACACAUUUAAUGUAUAUGCACUGUCAUUACUGACAAAUUCUUGGAAUGCCACUAAAGAAGAAUUCAAAACUUCCUCCCACUAAAGACGUAUCAUUACAUGGCAAUGAAACGGGGGUUCAAAUAUCCCUAAUAAACAGGUAUCAUUUAACAUUGGGGUUGUCUCAAGUUUGGUGAGGAAAGCAAGUGUUUGGAAAAUAAGCUAAAAUGUUUCCCAACAGUAAAUCAAAGAGUCCCACAAUUUGAUUUGUCCGUCAAUAUUGAAAUGCAACACGUCAAUUUGCUAUUAUUUUUUUUCAUUUUGCAUGUACACUGAAUGUAAACAUCAGGCUUUUUUUUUAUUUGUAUACACUUGCCUCCACUAGAGCACAAUGUUGAUCGAUGACUCCUGAGACUAAACUCGCAUUGCUGACUUGCAGCGUGGCCGUAGUUUGAGUUGUCAAUGACUGGCUGGUGUAUCUGCAUUGGGUCGGUUGGUCUAUUUAUCACAAUUUGAAUUCCCACAACAGAAAGAAACAGGUUAAGCAUAAUAAAUGUGUGGGCAUUAACCAAGAUAGAGCACAUUCAUUGUGUAAAAACAUGCACGAGGCACAUGUUGAAGGUAGCCGCAGCAGCAGCGUCGCUGUGAUAGUCAGUUGAGGGGGGGGCUGGCUUUCCAAUGGAUUGCAUCAAUUCUUUGUUCUAUGCCGUUAAACUACCACAGUGUCGGCCCACCCAUCGGCAAGUAAACAAUCUUCUGGCAUUUUGAGGUAAUCAUAAUACUGUUAGUACCAAAACAAUCUGGUGUGAAUCUGAGCAGCAGUUACAGCAGCGAGAGCAGAUGACCAUUAGCAGUUGUCAGGUCUAAUGCAGACGAGAUCACAGCAAUGUCUCAACACAAAUAUUGCCAUGUGGCAUCCUGUCCUCUUCUGCUUCGAGCUCUCCAGCACCUUCGAAUGUAAUACAGAAAACCAGCUUCGGAAAAAAAAAGGGGGGGGGGGGAGGGGGAGGCCGAAUGUGAUAAAAUAUGAAGAGUCUGAUGCCUUUUCCUCGCCGUUGUCUUAGUCUCAUUGCCACCCUGCUGUCGCCAAGUCUUCAGCCCUCUGCGCCCACACAGGGGUUUUCCUCACUGCAGGUGUUGGGAAUAUUUCCAAAUAUACCAAUCAGAAGUUCCCCAAAACAUACCUGCAUGGAUGGAAUCAAAGUAAGUGCUCAAACAAGGGUCUUUCUGUCAUACUUGUUGGUGAAGUUUGUGUUUGUGUCCCGUCUUACGUCUGAUUUUGAUACUUCCUGUUUUAUUGUGCCGUCUAAACCCCCUCUUGUUUCAGGUGCCUUGCCCUUCCUCAGGUGUCUCCUGUCAAUUGUCUCCCCUGAUUCCUAAUUGUCUCCACCUGUUCCCUCACCUCCCUCAUGGAUACUUAUUGUCUGCGUCUCCCUUUGUCCUGUGCCAGUGUGUCUUGUAGUCAUGCAUGUCCACACCUGCGUUAGUGUUAGCUUGUGAAAGGAUCUUUGUAUUUGGUAUUAUUAGAUAUAGGAAUUAUUGGAAUAAAUCUCUAGCAGUCAAACCUCUCUGCGUCCUUGUCCUCCUCCCCGGCUCCGGCCUGACUGACACUUUCCUUCCAACACGCGCCCGG
Gasterosteus aculeatus aculeatus (three-spined stickleback) is the source of this 3289-nucleotide long non-coding RNA. NCBI's taxonomy places the organism in Eukaryota, Metazoa, Chordata, Actinopteri, Perciformes, Gasterosteidae. The record is from Ensembl.